This 301-nucleotide ribosomal RNA is filed under the name uncultured bacterium. RNAcentral's name for it is "partial 16S ribosomal RNA". It matches the Rfam family "Bacterial small subunit ribosomal RNA", at positions 509 to 809 of the family's 1533-position model. The record is from RNAcentral.
CAGCCGCCGCGGUAAUACAGAGGGUGCGAGCGUUAAUCGGAUUUACUGGGCGUAAAGCGUGCGUAGGCGGCUUCUUAAGUCGGAUGUGAAAUCCCUGAGCUUAACUUAGGAAUUGCAUUCGAUACUGGGAAGCUAGAGUAUGGGAGAGGAUGGUAGAAUUCCAGGUGUAGCGGUGAAAUGCGUAGAGAUCUGGAGGAAUACCGAUGGCGAAGGCGGCCCCCUGGACAAAGACUGACGCUCAGGUGCGAAAGCGUGGGGAGCAAACAGGAUUAGAUACCCCCGUAGUCCCUGUCUCUUAUAA